RNAcentral lists this ribosomal RNA (253 nucleotides) under uncultured bacterium. Its description in RNAcentral is "partial 16S ribosomal RNA". It matches the Rfam family "Bacterial small subunit ribosomal RNA", at positions 524 to 776 of the family's 1533-position model. The record is from RNAcentral.
UACGAAGGGUGCAAGCGUUACUCGGAAUUACUGGGCGUAAAGCGUGCGUAGGCGGCUUGUUAAGUCUGAUGUGAAAGCCCUGGGCUCAACCUGGGAAUUGCAUUGGAUACUGGCAGGCUAGAGUGCGGUAGAGGAUGGCGGAAUUCCCGGUGUAGCAGUGAAAUGCGUAGAGAUCGGGAGGAACAUCUGUGGCGAAGGCGGCCAUCUGGACCAGCACUGACACUGAGGCACGAAAGCGUGGGGAGCAAACAGG